GAUGAAGAACGUAGCGAAAUGCGAUAAGUAGUGUGAAUUGCAGAAUUCAGUGAAUCAUCGAAUCUUUGAACGCACAUUGCGCCCCUUGGUAUCCCGAGGGGCAUGCCUGUUCUAGCGUCAUUUCACCACUCAAGCCUGGCUUGGUGUUGGGCGACGUCCUCUUUGGGGACGCGCCUCGAAACGCUCGGCGGCGUGGCACCGGCUUUAAGCGUAGCAGAAUCUUUCGCUUUGGAAGUCGGGGCCCCGUCUGCCGGAAGACCUGCUCGCAAGGUUGACCUCGGAUCAGGCAGGGAUACCCGCUGAACUUAAGCAUAUCAAUAAGCGGAGGA
RNAcentral lists this unclassified non-coding RNA (329 nucleotides) under soil metagenome. Its description in RNAcentral is "partial contains 5.8S ribosomal RNA, internal transcribed spacer 2, and large subunit ribosomal RNA". The stretch from base 1 to 120 matches the Rfam family "5.8S ribosomal RNA", at positions 35 to 154 of the family's 154-position model. The record is from RNAcentral.